UACGUAUGGCGCAAGCGUUAUCCGGAAUGACUGGGUGUAAAGGGAGCGUAGACGGUUGUACAAGUCUGAUGUGAAAGCCCACGGCUCAACUGUGGGAGUGCAUUGGAAACUGUAGAACUAGAGUAUCGGAGAGGCAAGUGGAAUUCCUAGUGUAGCGGUGAAAUGCGUAGAUAUUAGGAGGAACACCAGUGGCGAAGGCGGCUUGCUGGACGAAAACUGACGUUGAGGCUCGAAAGCGUGGGGAGCAAACAGG
This 253-nucleotide ribosomal RNA is filed under the name uncultured bacterium. RNAcentral's name for it is "partial 16S ribosomal RNA". It matches the Rfam family "Bacterial small subunit ribosomal RNA", at positions 524 to 776 of the family's 1533-position model. The record is from RNAcentral.